RNAcentral lists this non-coding RNA (91 nucleotides) under Hemiselmis andersenii. The record is from RNAcentral. Lineage: Eukaryota; Cryptophyceae; Cryptomonadales; Hemiselmidaceae.
CGGAAGGGAGCAGCUGAUGCCGUCAUCCCGGAUGCUCAUCUGCCGCGACGAGGACGAGAAGAAGGAAGCCGCCAAGGCUGUGGCGCCCAAG